RNAcentral lists this non-coding RNA (30 nucleotides) under Rattus norvegicus (Norway rat). Lineage: Eukaryota; Metazoa; Chordata; Mammalia; Rodentia; Muridae. The record is from RNAcentral.
UGGAACCAGAACCAGAAUGAGUGGCCUUCA